RNAcentral lists this transfer RNA (72 nucleotides) under Loxodonta africana (African savanna elephant). It matches the Rfam family "tRNA". Rfam says of the family: Transfer RNA (tRNA) molecules are approximately 80 nucleotides in length. Their secondary structure includes four short double-helical elements and three loops (D, anti-codon, and T loops). Further hydrogen bonds mediate the characteristic L-shaped molecular structure. tRNAs have two regions of fundamental functional importance: the anti-codon, which is responsible for specific mRNA codon recognition, and the 3' end, to which the tRNAs corresponding amino acid is attached (by aminoacyl-tRNA synthetases). tRNAs cope with the degeneracy of the genetic code in two manners: having more than one tRNA (with a specific anti-codon) for a particular amino acid; and 'wobble' base-pairing, i.e. permitting non-standard base-pairing at the 3rd anti-codon position. The record is from Rfam by way of RNAcentral. Lineage: Eukaryota; Metazoa; Chordata; Mammalia; Proboscidea; Elephantidae.
GCCAAAGUAGCUCAGCUGAGACAGUAUUAGACUGAAGACCUAAGGUCCCUUGUUCGAUCCUGGGUUUUGGCA